AUUGAACGCUGGCGGAAUGCUUUACACAUGCAAGUCGAACGGCAGCACGGGGGCAACCCUGGUGGCGAGUGGCGAACGGGUGAGUAAUACAUCGGAACGUGCCCAGUCGUGGGGGAUAACGUAGCGAAAGUUACGCUAAUACCGCAUACGAUCUACGGAUGAAAGCGGGGGACCGUAAGGCCUCGCGCGAUUGGAGCGGCCGAUGUCAGAUUAGGUAGUUGGUGGGGUAAAGGCUCACCAAGCCGACGAUCUGUAGCUGGCCUGAGAGGACGACCAGCCACACUGGGACUGAGACACGGCCCAGACUCCUACGGGAGGCAGCAGUGGGGAAGUUUGGACAAUGGGCGCAAGCCUGAUCCAGCCAUUCCGCGUGCAGGACGAAGGCCUUCGGGUUGUAAACUGCUUUUGUACGGAACGAAAAGGCUCUGGUUAAUACCUGGGGCUCAUGACGGUACCGUAAGAAUAAGCACCGGCUAACUACGUGCCAGCCGCCGCAGUAA
This 500-nucleotide ribosomal RNA is filed under the name uncultured bacterium. Its description in RNAcentral is "partial 16S ribosomal RNA". It matches the Rfam family "Bacterial small subunit ribosomal RNA", at positions 29 to 523 of the family's 1533-position model. The record is from RNAcentral.